This 65-nucleotide small RNA is filed under the name Kurthia zopfii. RNAcentral describes it as "Bacillaceae-1 RNA". It matches the Rfam family "Bacillaceae-1 RNA". Lineage: Bacteria; Bacillati; Bacillota; Bacilli; Caryophanales; Caryophanaceae. The record is from RNAcentral.
CGUAAAGGAAGGCGAGCCAGUACACAACGUCCUGUUGUUGGCUCGCCCAACUUGCAUCCUGCAAG